This 396-nucleotide long non-coding RNA is filed under the name Nicotiana benthamiana. RNAcentral's name for it is "long non-coding RNA (NBEN_LNC005231)". The record is from RNAcentral. Lineage: Eukaryota; Viridiplantae; Streptophyta; Magnoliopsida; Solanales; Solanaceae.
UGAAGUAUAUCACUUUUAUUUUGUAUCCUUUUUAAUCCACAAAAUCUUUACUUAACUUCCUCUCUCUACUCUCUCUAUCAACGUGAUCCGUGAACAGAUGAACGCUCUCCGGCGAGUUUCCGACCGGAAUUUCAGUUUUCCGUUUCCGGCGACCUCCGUUCCGUGAAAUCAUCGGAAGCUUAAAGUUGAGCUUUCUACGUUGUUUUUCAGACUCACAUUUACUCACCUACUACUGUGUGAAACCUACGGCGGUACCUGCGGCGGCGGCAUUGUCAGAUUUUAGCAGAAGCUUUUCAGUUUUUGCUUAUCUCUACUCCCUUCCGAUCUCGAAUUUGUAAGGUAACUCGAAUCAGAUUCUCUUUCUCGUAAUUUUGUUCUCUCUUCUUUUCUUUUUUU